ACCCCGGGAGGGGAGUGAAAGAGAACCUGAAACCCUGUGUUUACAAGCUGUGGAACAUCAUUAUUCGAUGAACCGCGUACUUUUUGUAGAACGGUCCGGCGAGUUACGCUUACUGGCAAGGUUAAGCACUUCAGGUGUGGAGCCGUAGGGAAACCAAGUCUUAAGAGGGCCAGAGUCAGUAGGAGUAGACCCGAAACCGGGUGAUCUAUCCAUGUCCAGGUUGAAGCUGCCGUAAGAGGUAGUGGAGGACCGAACGCACAUCCGUUGAAAAGGGUGGCGAUGAGGUGUGGAUAGGGGAGAAAUUCCAAUCGAACCCGGAGAUAGCUGGUUCUCCUCGAAAUAGCUUUAGGGCUAGCCUCGUAUUAGUCUAGUGGAGGUAGAGCACUGAAUUUCCUAGGGGGCGUCAAAGCUUACCGAAGAAUAUCAAACUCCGAAUGCCAUAUAGAUGAUGUACGGGAGUCAGACUGCACGAGAUAAGUUGGGCAGUCAAAAGGGAAAGAGCCCAGACCGCCAGCUAAGGUCCCAAAGUGUGUGUUAAGUGGAAAAGGAUGUGGGAUUUCGAAGACAACUAGGAUGUUGGCUCAGAAGCAGCCAUACAUUAAAAGAGUGCGUAAUAGCUCACUAGUCGAGAGGUCCUGCGCCGAAAAUGUCCGGGGCUGAAACACAACACCGAAGCUGCGGAAUUGCGAAUGCAAUUGGUAGAGGAGCAUUCUUAAUACCGACGAAGCUGUACCGGAAGGAGCAGUGGAGGGAUAAGAAGAGAGAAUGCCGGAAUGAGUAGCGAGAGAGAGGUGGGAAUCCUCUCGGCCGAAUAUCCAAGGUUUCCAGAGUAAAGCUGAUCUGCUCUGGGUAAGUCGGGACCUAAGGCGAGGCCGAGAGGCGUAGCCGAUGGACAACAGGUUGAGAUUCCUGUACUACAGUAUAACAGAACUGUGGGGACGCAGAAGGAGAGCACUACCUGGAAUGGAAUCCAGGGGCAAGCACAGGAGGGGUACGGCUGGAAAAACCGCCGUGCAACCCAAAGGUGUGACGCAUACCGAACUAAAGUAGGGAAAUGUGUGAGCCGGCUGCCGAGAAAAGCCGCUAUUGUUUGUACUGUACCCGUACCGUAAACCGACACAGGUGGAUGAGGAGAGAAUCCUAAGGCCGACGGAAGAAGCAUUGCUAAGGAACUCGGCAAAAUGACCCUGUAACUUCGGGAGAAAGGGUGCCUCGAAAGAGGCCGCAGAGAAUAGGCCCAAGCAACUGUUUAGCAAAAACACAGGUCUAUGCAAAACCGCAAGGUGAAGUAUAUGGGCUGACGCCUGCCCGGUGCUGGAAGGUUAAGGGGAGAUGUCAGGAGACGAAGCAUCGAACUUAAGCCCCAGUAAACGGCGGCCGUAACAAUAACGGUCCUAAGGUAGCGAAAUUCCUUGUCGGGUAAGUUCCGACCCGCACGAAAGGCGUAAUGAUUUGGGCGCUGUCUCGGCAAUGCAUCCGGUGAAAUUGAAGUGCCAGUGAAGAUGCUGGCUACCCGCGCCAGGACGGAAAGACCCCAUGGAGCUUUACUCCAGCUUGAUACUGGGAUUCGGUAUUGUAUGUACAGGAUAGGUGGGAGGCUGAGAAAUGGUGACGCCAGUCGCCAUGGAGCCGCUGUUGGGAUACCACCCUUGCAGUACUGGAUUUCUAACCAGCAGCCGUAAUCCGGCUGGGGGACAAUGUCAGGUGGGGAGUUUGACUGGGGCGGUCGCCUCCGAAAGGGUAUCGGAGGCGCUCAAAGGUUCCCUCAGAAUGGUCGGAAACCAUUCGAAGAGUGCAAAGGCAGAAGGGAGCUUGACUGCGACACCGACGG
Molecule: ribosomal RNA, 1831 nt
Filed under: human gut metagenome
Description: bacterial LSU rRNA
Rfam family: Bacterial large subunit ribosomal RNA
Source: RNAcentral